GCAAGUCGAACGAGAAAGUCUUUGCUUGCAAAGACGAGUAAAGUGGCGCACGGGUGAGUAACGCGUGAAUAAUCUACCUUCGAAUCUGUGAACAACACACCGAAAGGUGUGCUAAUACCGGAUAAUAUCUUUUGUCCUUCGGUACAGAAGAUCAAAGAUGGCCUCUACUUGUAAGCUAUUGUUUGAAGAUGAGUUCGCGUACCAUUAGCUAGUUGGUGGGGUAAAGGCCUACCAAGGCAACGAUGGUUAGCUGGUCUGAGAGGAUGACC
RNAcentral lists this ribosomal RNA (269 nucleotides) under uncultured bacterium. RNAcentral describes it as "partial 16S ribosomal RNA". It matches the Rfam family "Bacterial small subunit ribosomal RNA", at positions 57 to 305 of the family's 1533-position model. The record is from RNAcentral.